GUCAUUGAUCAGGCUUUUUCCAUAGUGGAUCCCAUUCGUAUAAUAGGCAGCUGUGAUUUUCUCCCUUGAGAUUUGUGAUAUCUUCUAAAUACUUCGUAUUGGCAAUUCUACGCCACUACUGUUUUGUUCCUUCCCGACGCUAUGCUUAUCAUGGGUCACAGAUUUGGUGGUCUCCUUAUGUGAGACACUGGGUGAUUCUUCAUCUAUGAAGUGUUUGGCUGAGACACCAAAGAAAAAAGAACAAAUAUGACUGAGAUGUUGGGUGCUACCCAUUACUCCAUCAAAGUGGCCCAGUGGAUGCUUCAAACUUCUGGGGCAACCACUUACAUGAAAUCCAUUGGAGAGGACAAAUACAGAGAGGGAAUGAAGGAUGCUACAGUAGCUGGUGUCAAUGUUGCUCAUUGUAAAUCUUUCUGCUGCAAAUAACGUGUGGUGGAUAACAUCCAUGUUGUACUUUAUUUAUUAAGUGGAAUCUUAUAGAAUAGUCAUGUGGUAUUUAACAUCCAUGUUGUUUCUCCUUUACGUUCUUUGCUUUUAAUUUUGUGUACCAAAUCAAUUUGUGUGACCUGUUUUUGUUGGGUAUAUUGUAAUCUUCUUUAUU
Long non-coding RNA from Camelina sativa (false flax), 601 nucleotides. RefSeq lists it as uncharacterized. The record is from RefSeq and is a predicted model, not a curated record. NCBI's taxonomy places the organism in Eukaryota, Viridiplantae, Streptophyta, Magnoliopsida, Brassicales, Brassicaceae.